CGCCUUGCCAGCCCGCUCAGAAACUCAAAGGAAUUGACGGGGGCCCGCACAAGCGGUGGAGCACGUGGUUAAUUCGAUGAUACGCGAGGAACCUUACCUGGGCUCAAAUGUAUGUUGACGUAUUCUGAAAGGGAUACUUCUUCGGACAAUAUACAAGGUGCUGCAUGGUUGUCGUCAGCUCGUGCCGUGAGGUGUCGGGUUAAGUCCCAUAACGAGCGCAACCCCUAUCAUUAGUUGCCAUCAGGUCAAGCUGGGGACUCUAAUGAAACUGCCUACGCAAGUAGUGAGGAAGGUGGGGAUGACGUCACGUCAUCAUGGCCCUUACGGCCUGGGCUACACACGUGCUACAAUGGUCGGUACAAAGGGUUGCCAAGCCGCGAGGUGGAGCUAAUCCCAUAAAACCGAUCGUAGUCCGGAUCGCAGUCUGCAACUCGACUGCGUGAAGUCGGAAUCGCUAGUAAUCGUGAAUCAGAAUGUCACGGUGAAUACGUUCCCGGGCCUU
This 502-nucleotide ribosomal RNA is filed under the name uncultured Sphingobacteriales bacterium. RNAcentral's name for it is "bacterial SSU rRNA". It matches the Rfam family "Bacterial small subunit ribosomal RNA", at positions 903 to 1382 of the family's 1533-position model. The record is from RNAcentral. Lineage: Bacteria; Pseudomonadati; Bacteroidota; Sphingobacteriia; Sphingobacteriales.